This is a long non-coding RNA of Anarrhichthys ocellatus (wolf-eel), 2377 nucleotides long. RefSeq lists it as uncharacterized. Lineage: Eukaryota; Metazoa; Chordata; Actinopteri; Perciformes; Anarhichadidae. The transcript has 3 exons. The record is from RefSeq and is a predicted model, not a curated record.
UUUCUAUUUUUCAACACUGUGAUGAGUGCAGCGAUGGUUUGGAAAAGUCACGAUAGAACGACUUAGCUUGAACUCUGGAGACCCCCUGGACCCACCCCUUUAGGACGCCUGGAGGUCCCCGCAACCCGUUUUGGGGAUCCCCCCCUCCUCUCUCCUCCACACAACCCUUCUGGGUUCUCGGCCCUGAUUCUGUCCCAGUGGACGCGGUGAUGCAGGGGUUAACGUGGUGACGUGGUGCUCCUGAAGCGGUGACCCACGGGGGCCAGCCGGUGGGGGCUGCAGGGGGAGAAGGGGAGAAAGCCGAGGCUGAGGUCCCGUUUGGGAAAGAGGAAAGGGAGGAAGACUGCAACAACCGCGUUUCUGCAAUUAUUUCUAAGCUGCCGCUCGCAGAUUUCGCUUCUUCCGCAUUCAUCUCCAACCUGCGGCUCAUUUGUUGUUCUACGUAUCCUCAGUAAACGCCUCCUCGAAUGGAAACUGUGUGUGUGUGUGUGUGUGUGUGUGUUUGUGUUUUUCAUUCACGAUUGUUUGCAAUUAUUUCUUUGUUUCAGAGCGACACAUCGAAGCAGCCUUUCCGUGGAGCGAGAAACUGGAGAUAAAUGCCACUUUUACGCAGAAAACUUGUCCGGACCGUUUGGACUUGAUCAAAGGGUGCGCAAACGCGCACAAAUGCUGUGGACUCUUUAACGCCUGUGCUAAAUGUUUAUAGCGCUGUUACAAUUGAAGCCGUGUGUGCACUGCCGUGUUUUGCGUUGCGCCGACCGGUCAUCCUCAAAACAAAAUGCCUCUGAAACUGGGCAGAGCUGUUACAUAUAGCAGGCAUUGAUGUAGCUGCUGGUGGAUUUGGAGAAAAAAGGUGGGUAAACUGUGACCUCCAGAUGGUAAUUAGGGAUAUCAUUUGGCAAACAGCUACAAACAAAUAUCAGUUGGAUUUCCAGAGAAGUGCUGAUUGCUCCUUUUCAUGCCAGACUCUGAAACUAUUCCGCAAAUAAAAAACCGAGCACGGCCUGCCUUCCACCACAUCACGGUUAUAGGUUAACACAUGGUGCCAGAGGAAUCAUUACCCAAAACCUCGUAGUUCACUUUGAUAGAGCUUGUAGAGAGAGGGGGCAGUUUGGUCAGAAAGAACGAUAGGCCUCUUGUCAGAAAAAGGUGUGUGUAGGUGUGUGUGUUUUGGUGCGUAAAUGUGUGUGAAGCCUACUAUAAGGAUAUAUAUUUCUUGGUGGCGAUAGAAGUGGGUGUAUUCCGGGUGUGAAACUCAUUGAUGAUGUCCCUUUGCCCCCUCCCCUGAUAAAAAAAAGACAAAACAUAAAAUGCAAGAAAGCUCCCUUUUACUAAGAGACGAGAGAGAGCGAACGAGAGAGAGAGAGAGAGAGAGGGAGAGAGAGAGCAUGGGAAAGAGAGGAAGGGAGAGUCUCUCCAUCAAUUUUCUGUUUAAUGUCAGCGCUGCAGCUCCAUUGUGGGAGAGAGAGGACGCGUCAUCCAGACAUAAAUUUGCUAUUAGACAGCCUCACGGAGACUCACAUCCACAGAAUCCGGAGCUCGUAGUCGGGAAAACCCCUCGGUGGAUAAACUCAGCAGAGAACUAACGCAUAAGGAAACGGAGCGCUAUUUAAGUCCACACUUUUGGAUGAAGCGUGUAGGAACAGGAUUCUUUUUUUUGAGAGGAAGAAAAAGUCUUUUUUUUUGGUAGUUUAUUUUUUAAUUCUUAUUAAUUAUUACAAUUAUGUGCAAUAUGGAGACGGUCAUUUUCUAGGACAUGACGGGGACUCAGUUUCCACCCUGCAAAGCCAAAACUCCGCUCAAUGCGAGGGGAGCCCGAAGUUCAUAAAAGGGAUUAUUUGCAUCUGGGUGCCUGAGACCUUCGGUGCCUCCGGAUUUUACUUCGGAUUUGGGAUUUAUCGCUUCUCAACGGGAUGGAAAGCCGAGAUUUCGCUCCUCCGCACCACCUCCUGACGGAGCGGGGCGCGUUGGUUCACAGCGCCGCGUCUCGGUUGGCGCCAGGCGGCCACGGCUCCGUGCAGCACCCCGCUCACUUCCAGCCUGGGAAAUACUACUCGUCCCACCUCUCCAUGGGUCCGCACUCAGGUCAGUUUUGAAUGGAGCUUUUUUGUGUGUGUGUAAAUGACAAGUGUGGGUUUAAAAAUAUAUAUAUAAUUGUCUAUCUUUUGUCUGAAGCAUACGCUCUGCAUAUUUCAAACUUGGGAAACCUGAAAGCUCCUUGGGACGAGCUAAUUUACUGUGGAAGGAAAUUGCUCAGAUUGUGGGCUAUUAGAAAUUAAUGGAAAGAAUGCGCAGGCAUCAUAAAGAGUUUUAUUUUUUAUUUUAUUCAAUAAACUGUUUAUGACAUAGCUGCUUUCUGUAUCAAUUCAGUGUUUCA